GUGCAAAUAACUUUGAUAAGUGGAUGCUGAGGCUGUAACUGUUUAAUAUGUCCAUUUCAGUGCUAAAAUCGUCAACGUUCCAACGGCAUCAUAGAUUGGAGCUGGAUAGAUUCAGAUAUCCCCCGAUUACAAGGUGAGUUUAAUCAAACAUGAUAUAAAUUCUGCAAAGUAAGCCUUUAACACAAUAGCAACGAAGUAAUAUUGAUGUAUCUGUAACACGCUGAAAUUAUCGUCUUCUCGUUUGCUAAUUUUAGCUUGCUAUCUUUUCAUUUAAUGCCUAAUAGUGUAUAUUAGACAAAACGUUGAUUUCAAUAACGUUGUGCUUGCGAAUUUGGGCAUCUUCCACUGCAGCUGAUGUAGAAAGGACACUUGAACUACCUUCAACUCCUCGACUGAUACUCUUUGGUGAAAAACCAGGAAGCUGCAUUCAUAAAUGGAUGAUUAGUUUUGAGGGGCAAAUAAUCUGUGAGGGCAUCCAGCCAAGUUUUCUGUCUGGACUUGCUGCUGUGUUUUCAACUUUCUACAAUUUCAAUGUGGAGUACCAAGCUGAGGCUGCAUCCACGUUGGAAUUUAUUCAGAGGUGCUUCAUUGGAAUAAAUCCUGAAAAAGGCACCAAGGGUGGACAAGUCCUAUCAAAGCGGACAGGGAAGGUCGGCCACAAAAAGAAAUCAGUCAACACUCGGGUUGCCAGUCUACUUAAGAAGCUAAUGGACUUUGAGUGGGACUUCAUAUAAGUGAACUCACUCAUCCACUGACAUACCACACACACACACACCGUACACAUACUCUUCACACAUGAUAAAAACAUGUUUUUAGUGUGUUUAGUCGCACAAUUUUUUCAGGUGUUCAUUCUUGAAUACCUACAUUUUGACUUCAUUCAUCAUUGAAUUAUUUCUUCAUUCAGUAACUCUUAUUCACUAAUAAUUUAGUAAUUCUUAUUCUCUCAGCAGUUCGCUUAAGUCACUCAUUUAGUUUUUUCUAAUGUUAUGUAAAUUAUUUGUUUAUUCAGUUAAACGAAAGUUUACUCUGAGGCUUAAGUUUUAGUCAUUCCACUUGCAUCAGCCACUAAUUUUGAGAAUAUUUUGUGAUUUAAAGUGGCUUUUUUUUUUCAAGU
Carassius auratus (goldfish) is the source of this 1114-nucleotide long non-coding RNA. RefSeq lists it as uncharacterized. NCBI's taxonomy places the organism in Eukaryota, Metazoa, Chordata, Actinopteri, Cypriniformes, Cyprinidae. The record is from RefSeq and is a predicted model, not a curated record. The transcript is spliced from 4 exons.